AAGGAUCAUUAAUGAAUU
Molecule: ribosomal RNA, 18 nt
Filed under: Ceratobasidium sp. AG-R
Lineage: Eukaryota; Fungi; Basidiomycota; Agaricomycetes; Cantharellales; Ceratobasidiaceae
Description: partial 18S ribosomal RNA
Source: RNAcentral